CUGUGGAGGUCCACUCGUGUGAAGGAACUGGGCAGAGGCUUAGGUUUCUUGGGUUGGAUUGGGCUGAAUUGGCGGGAAAUCAGCAAUUGGUUUCUAAAUCCUGGACAUCGAGGGUUUUUGUUUCAGACGCGACGGUGGCAUUGACAGUGGUUUGACAGGUCCUGGACGUGACAGGCGGAAGUCAGUGGUGGGUGCCCGUCUGUGCGUGUCCAAGGCCUGUGGCAGCAGGAGGCCCUCUUCCGUGGACCACCUGGGACAGGUGAGGAGCUGGCACACCUUGUGUCCACGUGUGCAGGCUGAGUUAGUGGCACUUCCCAGCGCUUGGGCACAGGUCAUUGUGGCCUUGGCUGACUGACAGCAUCCCCUGACACCUGCUGGGCCUGGGCAAGAGGACGGAGCCGAGACAGCUGCACCGCCCGGCACCGCAACGGCAGCGCCCGGGAGCCGCCUCAGGCUCCUGCA
RNAcentral lists this long non-coding RNA (462 nucleotides) under Oryctolagus cuniculus (rabbit). RNAcentral describes it as "lncRNA (ENSOCUG00000039552.1)". Lineage: Eukaryota; Metazoa; Chordata; Mammalia; Lagomorpha; Leporidae. The record is from RNAcentral.